GAUGAACGCUAGCUACAGGCUUAACACAUGCAAGUCGAGGGACCGGCGCACGGGUGAGUAACAUGUAUCCCACCCGCACAUUAGUCGGUGACAGCCUUCCGAAAGAGAGAUUAAUACCCGAUGUAAAGGCUGGGGAUGCGUUCCAUUAGGUUGUGGGUAAGGUAACGGCUCAACAAGCAUUCGAUGGCUAGGGGUUCUGAGCGGAAUGUCCCCCACAUUGGAACUGCGACCCAGUCCAAUCUCCUACGGGAGGCAGGAGUGAGGUAUAUUGGUCGGUGGACGUUAGCCUGAACCAGCCAAGUCGAGUGAAGGAUGAAGUCUUUUGGGUCGUAAACUUCUUUUAUAUAAAAAUCUGUAUUAUCUGAAUAAGGAUCGGCUAACUCCGUGCCAGCAGCCGCGGUAAUUC
RNAcentral lists this ribosomal RNA (406 nucleotides) under uncultured bacterium. Its description in RNAcentral is "partial 16S ribosomal RNA". It matches the Rfam family "Bacterial small subunit ribosomal RNA", at positions 28 to 526 of the family's 1533-position model. The record is from RNAcentral.